AGAGUUUGAUCCUGGCUCAGAGCCAACGCUGGCGGCGUGCCUAAUACAUGCAAGUCGAACGGGGAAGUACCUUCGGGUAUUGUACUAGUGGCGUACGGGUGAGUAACACGUGGAUAAUCUGCCCUCGGGUGGGGAAUAACUAACCGAAAGGUUAGCUAAUACCGCAUAAGACCACAAUCUCUACGGAGAAAGGGGUUAAAGGCUUCGGCCGCCCAAGGGAUGAGUCCGCGUCCCAUUAGCUAGUUGGUAGGGUAAAAGCCUACCAAGGCAUCGAUGGGUAGCUGGUCUGAGAGGAUGAUCAGCCACACUGGGACUGAGACACGGCCCAUACUCCUACGGGAGGCAGCAGUAGGGAAUAUUGCACAAUGGAGGAAACUCUGAUGCAGCGACGCCGCGUGAGUGAUGAAGGCCUUCGGGUUGUAAAGCUCUGUUCUCAGGGAAAAAGAAAGUGAUUGUACCUGAGGAGAAAGGACCGGCUAACUUCGUGCCANCAGCCGCGGUAAGACGAGGGGUCCUAGCGUUGCUCGGAAUUAUUGGGCGUAAAGCGGGUGUAGGUGGCUUUGUAAGUCAGAAGUGAAAGCCCUGGGCUUAACCCANGAAGUGCUUUUGAUACUGCUUAGCUUGAGUGUGGGAGAGGAUAGUAGAAUUCCUGGUGUAGUGGUGAAAUACGUANAUAUCAUGANGAAUACCGGUGG
RNAcentral lists this ribosomal RNA (695 nucleotides) under uncultured bacterium. RNAcentral's name for it is "bacterial SSU rRNA". It matches the Rfam family "Bacterial small subunit ribosomal RNA", at positions 8 to 715 of the family's 1533-position model. The record is from RNAcentral.